UCGAGCAACUUACCCUGAAAACUAGUUGGCAACACUAGUCUGUUUAGCUACUUUCUCACUUCGUGCCACACUGCUCCUGCUCCUCUCCAUAAAAACAAUUUAAAAGGAAGAGUGCAGCGCACCUGAUCUCUCCGGGGUCGAACGAAAGAGUCCCCAUUUGGAACUAAAAAAUAAAUACAAAUACAAGUGGUUCCUGAUAGUGAUUGUGUGGGUCUCUCAUCACAGUCUUACCAUCUCAGUAUGAGCCUCCACACCAUGAACAGCCUGCAUCUGGUGACCAAAAAGGACUGUGGCUAACCAGCUGGUGAGUGGAGCCUUGCAGCUGGCCAGGGACACCGCCCGCUUCCUGGAUGAGAUGCAGCUGGAGCAGGGUCAACUGGACACCUCAGGUGUCUGGAACAUCCCGGCUCUGGGGAACCUGAUUUCCUGGCAGAAGGUUGAUUAUGACUUCAACUACCACAAGGUGGAAUUCCCCUGCAAUAUUAAUAUGCUCAUAACUUCAGAGGGCAGAUCCCUGCUACCGGUGAGGACAAAGGCGUCAAAUAAAAUUUUAUUGGCCACAUCCGCAAUACCUUCUGAUAAGUAUGUGUGUGUAGUGAAAUGCUUGUGUUCCUAGCUCCAACAGUGCAGUAGUAUCUAACAAUUCACAAUACACACUAAAAUAAUGGAAUUAAGAAAUAUAUAAAUAUCAGAUUGAGCAAUGUCGGAGUGGCAUUGACUAAAAUAUAGUAUAUACUUAUGAGAUGACUAAAGCAGUAUUUAAACAUUAUCAAAGUGACCAGUGAUUCCAAGUCUAUGUAUAUAGGGUAGCAGCCUCUAAGGUGCAGGAGGAGUAACCGGAUGGAAGAUGGCUAGUGAUGUCGAUUUAAGUCUGAUGGCCUUGAGAUAGAAGCUGUUUUUCAGUCUCGGUCCCAGCUUUGAUGCACCUGUAC
Molecule: long non-coding RNA, 932 nt
Organism: Oncorhynchus masou masou (cherry salmon)
Lineage: Eukaryota; Metazoa; Chordata; Actinopteri; Salmoniformes; Salmonidae
Exons: 3
Source: RefSeq, a predicted model, not a curated record